CCUACGGGUGGCAGCAGUCGAGAAUCAUUCACAAUGGGGGAAACCCUGAUGGUGCGACGCCGCGUGGGGGAAUGAAGGUCUUCGGAUUGUAAACCCCUGUCAUGUGGGAGCAAAUUAAAAAGAUAGUACCACAAGAGGAAGAGACGGCUAACUCUGUGCCAGCAGCCGCGGUAAUACAGAGGUCUCAAGCGUUGUUCGGAAUCACUGGGCGUAAAGCGUGCGUAGGCUGUUUCGUAAGUCGUGUGUGAAAGGCGCGGGCUCAACCCGCGGACGGCACAUGAUACUGCGAGACUAGAGUAAGGGAGGGGGAAUCGGAAUUCUCGGUGUAGCAGUGAAAUGCGUAGAUAUCGAGAGGAACACUCGUGGCGAAGGCGGGUUCCUGGACAUUAACUGACGCUGAGGCACGAAGGCCAGGGGAGCGAAAGGGAUUAGAUACCCCUGUAGUC
RNAcentral lists this ribosomal RNA (446 nucleotides) under uncultured bacterium. Its description in RNAcentral is "partial 16S ribosomal RNA". It matches the Rfam family "Bacterial small subunit ribosomal RNA", at positions 338 to 795 of the family's 1533-position model. The record is from RNAcentral.